Long non-coding RNA from Trichomycterus rosablanca, 1499 nucleotides. RefSeq lists it as uncharacterized. Lineage: Eukaryota; Metazoa; Chordata; Actinopteri; Siluriformes; Trichomycteridae. The transcript is spliced from 3 exons. The record is from RefSeq and is a predicted model, not a curated record.
AGCCUUGAUAUUUUAAGACCCUAACAUACAGUACAACAUAAGCAUGUAUCAUGACAAUAUCAACAAACGGCAAUGUUUUGCCUGGUUGAUGAGAUCACAACAUGAAAAGAGAGACCGACAAAUUUAGGUUUUAAAUAUAGGGAUUUAUUGAAGGAUUUCAGUGUUGACAGUGUAAGAGGACACAACAGGACAAGACAAAAUGGUGAAGUGUGAGCAAAAAAAAAUGACUACAUGUAACAUUUUGUAGAUCAACCGUCAUACCAUGGUUGGCUGUGCGGCAUUUGGAUGCACCAAUCGGUCAGAGAAAGGAAUGCAGAUGUAUGGCUUCCCAAAGGAAAGAGACAGAAGAAAAAAAUGGUUAGCAAUGGUCAGCAGAAGCAACAUGACAAUCACACAAAACUACAAUAACAGAAAACUCUGUCAAGCACAUUUUGAGGAGGAUCAAUUCAUUUCCACAAAAAAAGGCCAAAUGAAGUUGAGGGCUGAUUCCAUUCCCGCCGUAUUUGUACAUUGCUCUAGGCCUUAGAGGAGGAAGGCCCCUUCACUGAGACUUCCAGCAGAACUGCUAACAGUUACUGCAGUGACCAGUGACCACAACUACUAUGCUACAAACACAUGGGAAAUUGAGGGAGAAUUUGAGGAAAGAGAGGGCGCAGAUUGUGGCAAAUGUGAGGUGAAUGAGAUGGAUAUUCCAGUACAUCAGUGAGCAUCUAGGCAGUGAGCAUCCAGGCAGUGAGCAUCCAGGCAGUGAGCAUCCAGUCAGUGAGCACCCUGUCAGUGAGCAUCCAGGCAGUGAACCAGGAGCCAAUCAGCCAGGAGUCAGUCAGCAAUAUCUGACAGAGGAACUGAAAACUGAAAGAGCAAUCAGAAGAAGAGCAGAGAGAGCACUGAAACAGCAGAAAACAAUAAAUGCAGCACUGAGGCAGAAAAACAUUAUGAUUCAGAAGAAAUUUGCAGUAUUUUUAACAAAAGAUCAAAUUACCGCUAUUGGACUAAAGAACAAAAGAGGGAUGCGGUGGGGAAAUGAAACUGUAAAAAAAGCAAAAAAAGCCGCUUCACUACAGGUACCACUGGCUACAAAAUGCUCCAGGAAAUGCAAAUUCCACUACCGGACAUAAGAACCAGGAUCUGGAAGCCUGGUUGCUCCAACAGCCUCAUCAACACUCAUAUAACCUCAUAAGUCAUGCCAGCCUAGUCAUUGUUAUGCCGGGUGGCUAAGUGGGUAGCACUGUCGCCUCACAGCAAGAAGGUCCUGGGUUCGAUCCCCAGGUGGGGCUGUUCGGGUCCUUUCUGUGUGGAGAUCUGAAGAAAAAAAAAUCAUCACCAGGUACAUCAGGCUGAGGUUACGAAUAGAGUCUAUGUCAAUAUGAACCUUGUGAUGACUAACUACUGUUCCUGUCAUGAAUGUAACCAAAGUGUAAAACAUGACAUUAAAAUCCCAAUAAAAAAACAUUGUUAUGUCAGCUUCUUCAUCUCUUUGGUUUAAUGUGUGUUUUACU